AAGGCGAAAAGAACCCCGGCGAGGGGAGUGAAAAAGAACCUGAAACCGUGUACGUACAAGCAGUGGGAGCACAGAGCAAUCUGUGUGACUGCGUACCUUUUGUAUAAUGGGUCAGCGACUUAUAUUCUGUAGCAAGGUUAACCGAAUAGGGGAGCCGAAGGGAAACCGAGUCUUAACUGGGCGUUAAGUUGCAGGGUAUAGACCCGAAACCCGGUGAUCUAGCCAUGGGCAGGUUGAAGGUUGGGUAACACUAACUGGAGGACCGAACCGACUAAUGUUGAAAAAUUAGCGGAUGACUUGUGGCUGGGGGUGAAAGGCCAAUCAAACCGGGAGAUAGCUGGUUCUCCCCGAAAGCUAUUUAGGUAGCGCCUCGUGAAUUCAUCUCCGGGGGUAGAGCACUGUUUCGGCAAGGGGGUCAUCCCGACUUACCAACCCGAUGCAAACUGCGAAUACCGGAGAAUGUUAUCACGGGAGACACACGGCGGGUGCUAACGUCCGUCGUGAAGAGGGAAACAACCCAGACCGCCAGCUAAGGUCCCAAAGUCAUGGUUAAGUGGGAAACGAUGUGGGAAGGCCCAGACAGCCAGGAUGUUGGCUUAGAAGCAGCCAUCAUUUAAAGAAAGCGUAAUAGCUCACUGGUCGAGUCGGCCUGCGCGGAAGAUGUAACGGGGCUAAACCAUGCAC
Molecule: ribosomal RNA, 684 nt
Filed under: Escherichia coli
Lineage: Bacteria; Pseudomonadati; Pseudomonadota; Gammaproteobacteria; Enterobacterales; Enterobacteriaceae
Description: partial 23S ribosomal RNA
Rfam family: Bacterial large subunit ribosomal RNA
Source: RNAcentral